Molecule: ribosomal RNA, 263 nt
Filed under: uncultured archaeon
Lineage: Archaea
Description: partial 16S ribosomal RNA
Rfam family: Archaeal small subunit ribosomal RNA
Source: RNAcentral
ACACGACUACAUUAGAUACCCGGGUAGUCCAGGGUGUAAACGCUGCGGGCUUGGUGUGGGGUCCUUUGAGGGCGCCCAGUGCCGGAGAGAAGUUGUUAAGCCUGCUGCUUGGGGAGUACGUCCGCAAGGAUGAAACUUAAAGGAAUUGGCGGGGGAGCACCGCAACGGGAGGAGCGUGCGGUUCAAUUGGAUUCAACGCCGGACAACUCACCAGGAGCGACGGUUACAUGAAGGCCAGGCUGAUGACCUUGCCUGAUUUUCCG